CAGCAGCCGCGGUAAUACGGAGGGUGCAAGCGUUAAUCGGAAUUACUGGGCGUAAAGCGUGCGUAGGCGGUUCGUUAAGUCUGUUGUGAAAGCCCCGGGCUCAACCUGGGAAUGGCAAUGGAUACUGGCGAGCUAGAGUGUGUCAGAGGAUGGUGGAAUUCCCGGUGUAGCGGUGAAAUGCGUAGAGAUCGAGAGGAACAUCAGUGGCGAAGGCGGCCAUCUGGGACAACACUGACGCUGAGGCACGAAAGCGUGGGGAGCAAACAGGAUUAGAUACCCGCGUAGUCCCUGUCUCUUAUAC
RNAcentral lists this ribosomal RNA (301 nucleotides) under uncultured bacterium. RNAcentral describes it as "partial 16S ribosomal RNA". It matches the Rfam family "Bacterial small subunit ribosomal RNA", at positions 509 to 807 of the family's 1533-position model. The record is from RNAcentral.